AGGGCCCUUCAUGUAUAAUUAGUAUCAGUGAGGCCUUUAAACUGAAGUAAAUAACUGGGCUAGUGUCAAUAAUCAAUCAAAUACUAAUGGGGAAAUACAACUAGGAAUUUAGUGGGGAACAACAUGUCUGAAUGAGCAGAGAUGGAUCUAGAGAAGAUUUUUAAGUACUGUCAGAAAAUUAGAAUCAAGGAGACAGAGGAAAUGAACAUAUAAGUCAAUAUAUAUGUUCCCAUUCAUUAUAGCUCUGCUUUAAAUAGGAAUUCCUAUGGAUUCAAUGGUAUAAUUUAAUUUUGUGUGAAAACUAUCAAUUUUUCUUUUGGUUAUAAAAUAGAAGUCUGACUUGGGAUUUGUCAAUUUUCAGAAUUCAGUCUGUCCAUUGCUAAAGUCUACUAGGCUUACAAGUAAUCUUGAAUAACUGGUACCAUCUCAUCCCUCAUGACAACAAAAUGAGGCAUGAAGUGCAAAUUCUAGCUAGGAUCAUAAGAUAAGUUUAGAGCUAGAAAGGGCCUUCAAGGCCAUCUACUUAUAGAUCCUCAUUUUAUAGAUGGAGAAACUGAGGUCUAGAUGGCUAAGGUUGAGAUCCACAGGUAGAAAGGGACAAGAGACUGGGGGCUCUGUCCAGGAUCCAGAAAUCCCAAUUGUGGAAUAGCCGCUAUUAAAGAAGGGGAAGAUGCAGCUUGUGAUUUGUGGAUCAGCUAUGGGCAUCCCAUUCACGGACUGUUCAAGAUUCUAGAACCACAUUGGUUUGUUUUCUUCUAGGUUUUGGUCAAUUGCAGCUGUAUCACCCAGCUUCAGAGAUCCACUGGAUGCUUCAAUCAGCUCCUGACUUCCCCCAUCCCCAAGCAAACCUCUCAAAAUUGAGAUCCUGCACAUUGACUCUGCUCUGCAUUCAUUCUCAUCAGGAAGUAGUUUCAGAAGAAGAUGAGACAUCAACCCAUACAUCCCUGAAAGGAUUUUGGGCCCCAUUUGAUUGGGGAAAACUGGAACUGAUUGGUGAAUGGAUCUGAAACUACUCAGUGGCUGAGUGGGUUCCCAGCUGGCAUUCAAAGAAAGCAAGGCUGAAUAAGGAAGAAUUAAAUUGAGGGCAGUACAUGGUGAAUACAAGGCUAGAAAUCAAGUCACUUCUGUAUGGGGCCAUUCUUAUUCUGGUGCCCUUGAGAUCUAAGAGUAAAUACUUCAGGUAAUGUGAUAAAGAUUGCUGUUAAGGGUGGGGAGAAGAAGAGAGAUUGCCUCUUGGACAAAGAAGGUUUGGGAAAGUGGAGAGAUGUGACCAACAGCACAAGCUUAAAGAACCAGAAGAAGAACUUCUCUGGUCACAUUUUGCUUAAAAUUGGGCAUAUUCCAUACCUGAAAAGGGAGAAGAGAAAACUGAAAAGAAUUCUAAGCAAUGGGAUCCUGAAGGGAGAAGUAGGACUAAGUGCCAUUAAAAAAAAUCUUGAUUUGGCCUUUGUAGGUAUAUACACCCAUUUUUGCAAGAAUGUAAAAUAAAAUCUUUCCAGUAUUAA
Molecule: long non-coding RNA, 1505 nt
Organism: Antechinus flavipes (yellow-footed antechinus)
Lineage: Eukaryota; Metazoa; Chordata; Mammalia; Dasyuromorphia; Dasyuridae
Exons: 5
Source: RefSeq, a predicted model, not a curated record